Molecule: ribosomal RNA, 497 nt
Filed under: uncultured bacterium
Lineage: Bacteria
Description: partial 16S ribosomal RNA
Rfam family: Bacterial small subunit ribosomal RNA
Source: RNAcentral
GAUGAACGCUGGCGGCGUGCCUAAUACAUGCAAGUCGAGCGAACGGACGAGAAGCUUGCUUCUCUGAUGUUAGCGGCGGACGGGUGAGUAACACGUGGAUAACCUACCUAUAAGACUGGGAUAACUUCGGGAAACCGGAGCUAAUACCGGAUAAUAUUUUGAACCGCAUGGUUCAAAAGUGAAAGACGGUCUUGCUGUCACUUAUAGAUGGAUCCGCGCUGCAUUAGCUAGUUGGUAAGGUAACGGCUUACCAAGGCAACGAUGCAUAGCCGACCUGAGAGGGUGACCGGCCACACUGGAACUGAGACACGGUCCAGACUCCUACGGGAGGCAGCAGUAGGGAAUCUUGCGCAAUGGGCGAAAGCCUGACGGAGCAACGCCGCGUGAGUGAUGAAGGUCUUCGGAUCGUAAAACUCUUUUAUUGGGGAAGAAAAUAUGUGUAAGAAACUGUCCACAUCUUGACGGUACCUAAUCAAAAAGCACCGGCUAACUACGUG